Mytilus californianus (California mussel) is the source of this 4430-nucleotide long non-coding RNA. RefSeq lists it as uncharacterized. The transcript is spliced from 3 exons. The record is from RefSeq and is a predicted model, not a curated record. Lineage: Eukaryota; Metazoa; Mollusca; Bivalvia; Mytilida; Mytilidae.
UUCUCAUUUCAGAUUUCAGAAAUUAAAAAAAAAUAUUCUUCAAAUAUUAUUUUUUUUUCAAAUUUCAAAUAUUGAAAAAUUUCAAUAAGUAAUCUUUAAUUGCAUAGUAUGGCGCAUUAGAUUUGUAAAAUCUUUGAUCACAUUUAUUUAUUUGUUAUGCCGGAUCUAACAGUGUAUUUAGAUUGUUAAUUUUGGGUCCAGUUUUCAAAUUGGUCUACAUUAAGGUCCAAAGGGUCCAAAAUUAAACUUUGUUUGAUUUUAGCAAAAAUUGAAUAUAUGGGGUUCUUUGAUAUGCUGAAUCUAACCAUGUAUUUAGAUUUUUUAUUUGUGGACCCCGUUGUCAAAUUGGUUCAUAUUGAGGUCAAAAGGGUCCAAAAUUAAACUUUGUUUGAUUUCAUCUAAAAUUGAAUUAUUGGGGUUCUUUGAUAUUCCAAAUCUAACCGUGUAUUUAGAUUUUUAAUUUUGGGUCCUGUUUUUAUACGACCGCAAAAAUUGAAAAUUUUUUGGUCGUAUAUUGGUAUGACGUUGGCGUCGUCGUCGUCGUCGUCGUCGUCGUUGUCGUCGUCGUCGUCGUCGUCGUCGUCGUCUGGCGUCGUCCGGCGUCGUCCGAAGACACAUUGGUUUUCGCACUCUAACUUUAGUUUAAGUGAAUGGAUCUCCAUGAAAUUUUACCAUAAGGUUCAAUACCACGAAAGGAAGGUGGGGAUUGAUUUUGGGGGUUAUGGUAUCAACAGUUAAGGAAUUAGGGGCCAAAAAGGGGCCAAAAAUAAGCAUUUUUGUAACUUCCAGACAAUAACUUGUGUGUAAGUGUAUGGAUCUCUCUGACAUUGUACCACAAGGUUCCAUAUCACAAAGGGAAGGCUGUAAUUGAUUUUGGGGGUAAUUGCCUCAAAAUUUUAGGAAUUAGGGGCCAAAAAAGGGGCAAAAAACAAGCAUUUUUCUAGUUUCAUGACAAUAACUUGUGUGUAAGUAUUUGGAUAUUUCUGAAAUUGUACUACAAGGUUCCAUAUCACAAAGGGAAAGCUGGAAUUGAGUUUGGGGGUAAUUGCCCGAAACGUUUAGGAAUUGGGGGCCAAAAAGGGGCCAAAAAUAAGCAUUUUUCUAGUUUCCAGACAAUAACUUGUGUUCAAGUGUAUGGAUCUCUCUGAAAUUGUACUGCAAGGUACCAUACCACAAAGGGAAGGCUGGGAUUGAGUUUGGGGGUGAUGAAUCAUAAGGGGGUUCAAAAAAUUUGGGGGGGGGGAUUUUUUUUUUUCUUUUUUUUUCUUUUUUUCCUUUUUUUUUUCUUUUAAAAUUUUCCAUUUUAAGUUGGUUAUUUCUGAUUAAUAUUUAAAAGCAAAUAAUAAUGAUAUGGUAGGAGAUACACACCAAACAGGAUGUGUAAAUUAUUAUAUAAUAAGUAUUGUGCAAUAGCAAGAAAUUUUCAAUUGCACAGUAUUGCACAAUUGCAAGAAAUCUUCAAUUGCACAGUAUUGCGCAAUAGCAAGAAAUCUUCAAUUGCACAGUAUUGCGCAAUAGCAAGAAAUAUCCAAGAGCACAAUAUUGCGCAAUAGCAAGAAAUUGUCAAUUGUACAGUAUUGCACAAUAGCAAGAAAUAUUCAAUUGCACAGUAUUGUGCAAAAGAAGAUACUUCGUAUAAAUUGCUUAUUUCUUGAUCAAUUUCAAUGGGGUUUUAUUCUUGAAUUCUUGGGGUUCUUUAAUAUGCUGAAUCUAACCGUGUAUUAAGUUUUUGGAUUUUGGGCCCCGUUUUUAAAUUGGUCCACAUUGAGGUCCAAAGGGUCCAAAAUUUAACUUUGUUUGAUUUCAUCAAAAAUUGAAUUAUUGGGGUUCUUUGAUAUGCCGAAUCUAACCGUGUAUUUAGAUUCUUAAUUUUUGGUUCCGUUUUCAAAUUGGUCUACAUUAAGGUCAAAAGGGUCCAAAAUUAAACUUAGUUUGAUUUUAACAAAAAUUGAAUUUUUAGGGUACUUUGAUAUGCUGAAUCUAAACAUGUAUUUAGAUUUUUGAUUAUGGGCCCAGUUUUCAAGUUGGUCCAAAUCGGGGUCCAAAAUUAAACUUUGUUUGAUUUCAACAAAAAUUGAAUAUAUGGGGUUCUUUGAUAUGCUGAAUCUAACCAUGUAUUUAGAUUUUUGAUUUUUGGGCCCCUUUAUCAACUUUAUCCACAUUGAGGUCAAAAGGGUCCAAAAUUAAACUUUGUUUGAUUUCAUCAAAAAUUGAAUUCUUGGGGUUCUUUGAUAUACUGAAUCUAACCAUGUAUUUAGAUUUUUUAUUUGUGGAUCCGCUAUCAAAUUGGUUCAUAUUGAGGUCAAAAGGGUCCAAAAUUAAACUUUGUUUGAUUUCAUCUAAAAUUGAAUUAUUGGGGUUCUUUGAUAUGCCAAAUCUAACCGUGUAUUUAGAUUUUUAAUUUUGGGUCCCGUUUUUAAAUUGGUCUACAUUAAGGUCCAAAGGGUCCAAAAUUAAACUUAGUUUGAUUUUAACAAAAAUUGAAUUCUUGGGGUUCUUUGAUAUGCUGAAUCUAAACAUGUGUUUAGAUUUUUGAUUAUGGGCCCAGUUUUCAAGUUGGUCCAAGUUGGGGUCCAAAAUUAAACUUUGUUUGAUUUCAACAAAAAUUGAAUAUAUGGGGUUCUUUGAUAUGCUGAAUCUAAACAUGUAUUUAGAUUUUAGAUUUUUGGCCCAGUUUUCAAGUUGGUCUAAAUUGGGGUCCAAAAUUAAACUUUGUUUGAUUUCAACAAAAAUUGAAUAUAUGGGGUUCUUUGAUAUGCUGAAUCUUACCAUGUAUUUAGAUUUUUUAUUUGUGGGCCCGCUAUCAAAUUGGUUCAUAUUGAGGUCAAAAGGGUCCAAAAUUAAACUUUGUUUGAUUUCAUCAAAAAUUGAAUUAUUGGGGUUCUUUGAUAUGCCAAAUCUAACCGUGUUUUUAGAUUUUUAAUUUUGGGUCCCGUUUUUUAAAUUGGUCUACAUUAAGGUCCAAAGGGUCCAAAAUUAAACUUAGUUUGAUUUUAACAAAAAUUGAAUUCUUGGGGUACUUUGAUAUGCUGAAUCUAAACAUGUGUUUAGAUUUUUGAUUAUGGGACCAGUUUUCAAGUUUGUCCAAGUCGGGGUCCAAAAUUAAACUUUGUUUGAUUUCAACAAAAAUUGAAUAUAUGGGGUUCUUUGAUAUGCUGAAUCUAACCAUGUAUUUUGAUUUUGGACAUUGGACCAUAAUAGGUAAAUUAAAAAAAUUGAAGUUCUUAGACAACAUUCUUUCUGUGUCAGAAACCUAUGCUGUGUCAAAUAUUUAAUCACAAUCCAAAUUCAGAGCUGUAUCAAGCUUGAAUGUUGUGUCCAUACUUGCCCCAACUGUUCAGGGUUCAACCUCUGCGGUCGUAUCAAGCUGCGCCCAGCGAAGCAUUUUAUUUAAAUUGGUUUACAUUAAGGUCCAAAGGGUCCAAAAUUAAACUUAGUUUGAUUUUAACAAAAAUUGAAUUCUUGGGGUUCUUUGAUAUGCUGAAUCUAAACAUGUGUUUAGAUUUUUGAUUAUGGGGCCAGUUUUCAAGUUGGUCCAAGUUGGGGUCCAAAAUUAAACUUUUUUUGAUUUCAACAAAAAUUGAAUAUAUGGGGUUCUUUGAUAUGCUGAAUCUAACCAUGAAUUUAGAUUUUUUAUUUGUGGGCCAUGCUAUCAAAUUGGUUCAUAUUGAGGUCAAAAGGGUCCAAAAUUAAACUUUGUUUGAUUUCAUCAAAAAUUGAAUUUUUGGGGUUCUUUGAUAUUCCAAAUCUAACCGUGUAUUUAGAUUUUUAAUUUUAAGUCCCGUUUUUUAAAUUGGUCUACAUUAAGGUCCAAAGGGUCCAAAAUUAAACUUAGUUUGAUUUUAGCAAAAAUUGAAUUCUUGGGGUUCUUUGAUAUGCUGAAUCUAAACAUGUGUUUAUAUUUUUGAUUAUGGGCCCAGUUUUCAAGUUUUUCCAAGUUGGGGUCCAAAAUUAAACUUUGUUUGAUUUUAACAAAAAUUGAAUAUAUGGGGUUCUUUGAUAUGCUGAAUCUAACCAUGUAUUUAGAUUUUGGAUAUUGGACCAUAAUAGGUAAAUUAAAAAAUUUCAAGUUCUUAGACCACAUUCAUUCUGUGUAAGAAACCUAUGCUGUGUCAAAUAUUUAAUCACAAUCCAAAUUCAGUGCUGUAUCAAGCUUAAAUGUUGUGUUCAUACUUGCCCCAACUGUUCAGGGUUUGACCUCUGCGGUCGUAUCGAACUGCGCCCAGCGGAGCAUUUUAUUAUGUCGUAUAUUGGUAUGACGUUGGCGUCGUCGUCGUCCGAAGACACAUUGGUUUUUGCACAAUAACUUUAGUUUAAGUGAAUGGAUCUCUAUGAAAUUUUACCAUAAGGUUCAAUACCACAAAAGGAAGGUUGGGAUUGAUUUUGGGGGUUAUGGUCCUAACAGUUUAGGAAUUAGGGGCCAAAAAGGC